AUAAGAGGUCCSGCCUGCCCUGUGACUAUAGUUUAACGGCCGCGGUAUUUUAACCGUGCGAAGGUAGCGUAAUCACUUGUCUUUUAAAUGAAGACCUGUAUGAAUGGCAUCACGAGGGCUUAGCUGUCUCCCAUCUCCAGUCAAUGAAAUUGACCUCCCCGUGCAGAGGCGGGGAUAAUUACAUAAGACGAGAAGACCCUAUGGAGCUUUAGACCUAAGGUAAGUCACGUUUAACAUGCUGUGAUAACAGAAAAAACUUAGUGAUAUUUACUGAAGUGUCUUUGGUUGGGGCGACCGCGGGGUAAAACACAACCCCCAUGUGGACCGGGGAUAUAAUCCCUAAUACUCAGAGCCUCUACUCCAAGUAACAGAAAUUCUGACUUUUCUGAUCCGGUAUAACCGAUCAACGAACCGAGUUACCCUAGGGAUAACAGCGCAAUCCCCUCUCAGAGCCCAUAUCGACGAGGGGGUUUACGACCUCGAUGUUGGAUCAGGACAUCCUAAUGGUGCAGCCGCUAUUAAGGGUUCGUUUGUUCAACGAUUAAAGUCC
RNAcentral lists this ribosomal RNA (550 nucleotides) under Merlangius merlangus (whiting). Its description in RNAcentral is "partial 16S ribosomal RNA". It matches the Rfam family "Bacterial large subunit ribosomal RNA", at positions 1845 to 2596 of the family's 2925-position model. The record is from RNAcentral. Lineage: Eukaryota; Metazoa; Chordata; Actinopteri; Gadiformes; Gadidae.